UGUGAAACCACCAAACCCAGGUCCUCCUCUGCGAGGGCAACGCCUACUCCAACAGCCAUGUCAUCUCUCGGGCCCCUCCACCCCUCACUUUCUACGGAUCCAGGUGACAUUAUCUCAACUUAAGUCAUCCACUGUAAAGUCUCCCUGGGGCUCUAACCCUCCUCGCCCGUAUCAUGUGACCUUCUGGCAAGUUCCGAGGACUGGGCCGCGGGCGGCGGCCGCUGGUGUCUUUAGGGGAGUGUUAGCCUGCGGUCACAGUUAUGCUGCACUUCUGUUUUGGGAAGCUUUGCUUCAGUCACGUCCCCCAGGGGGUCAGGGGAACUGAGAGUGGGAAGAGGGCUGAGUCCAGCUCUCUCGCACUGCGGGCGGCGACAGGUGGCUGAGGAAAGUUGUGGCGCAGCAUCCGGUGCUGCUUAGACCCAGAAGA
Molecule: long non-coding RNA, 427 nt
Filed under: Rattus norvegicus (Norway rat)
Lineage: Eukaryota; Metazoa; Chordata; Mammalia; Rodentia; Muridae
Description: long non-coding RNA NONRATT008087
Source: RNAcentral